ACCCCUGCUGUUCCUCUGGGUCCUGGAACGAGGCGAAGACGUGUAUGAGCCCCGCACGGAGGCGUCCGCCAGCCUGUACUGCUCCGGCGUGCUGGUCCUGACCCGAAGGGUGAGGACCAGCGUAUGAGUCUCUGCCCCU
Molecule: long non-coding RNA, 139 nt
Filed under: Ailuropoda melanoleuca (giant panda)
Lineage: Eukaryota; Metazoa; Chordata; Mammalia; Carnivora; Ursidae
Description: lncRNA (ENSAMEG00000031011.1)
Source: RNAcentral